This is a long non-coding RNA of Aphis gossypii (cotton aphid), 486 nucleotides long. RefSeq lists it as uncharacterized. The transcript is spliced from 3 exons. Lineage: Eukaryota; Metazoa; Arthropoda; Insecta; Hemiptera; Aphididae. The record is from RefSeq and is a predicted model, not a curated record.
CAAAAAUAAUGUUUAAUGUAAUAAAUAUUGUUUUGCUAUAAUUUAAAUUAAGGUCAAGCUUGGAGGCAUAAGAUUUUUUGAUUGUGCGUUAGCAAUACAGCGACAGAUAGCGGAGGACGUGAAAAAAAUGUAUUUGAAUAAUAUUACCCCCAGUAAUUACUGUUUUUCGAAUACUACCGCUGCAGUUUCCCGUCAUGUUUACUUGGCUGAUUUUAUUCACGAAUCGAAAAAUUAUUGACAAUGCGAAGACGCGUUGCAAGACGUAUACACAUCAUUAAUACGACUGCAUUAGGGUUUCGUCAAAAGCAAGCCGAAACAAUGUUAUAAAAUAUCAUAAUGUACCUACGAAAUGUUGUAGGUUGUAACGGAAUUCUACAAAACCCAAUGAAAAUCAAUCUGUUUUAAGCAUAUCUUAGUUUUCAGUAGGUAGAUUAUGUCUUUAUUAGCCUGAUAAAAUAAAUCCGUUUUAGUAAUAAUGUUAAAUAA